UACGUAUGGGGCGAGCGUUAUCCGGAUUCAUUGGGCGUAAAGCGCGCGCAGGCGGGCUGCUAAGCGGGACCUCUAAUCUCGGGGCUCAACCCCGAGCCGGGUUCCGAACUGGCAGCCUCGGGUUCGGUAGGGGUAGGCGGAAUUCCCGGUGUAGCGGUGGAAUGCGCAGAUAUCGGGAAGAACACCGAUGGCGAAGGCAGCCUACUGGGCCGCAACCGACGCUGAGGCGCGAAAGCUGGGGGAGCGAACAG
This 251-nucleotide ribosomal RNA is filed under the name uncultured bacterium. RNAcentral's name for it is "partial 16S ribosomal RNA". It matches the Rfam family "Bacterial small subunit ribosomal RNA", at positions 524 to 775 of the family's 1533-position model. The record is from RNAcentral.